UACGAAAGGAGCAAGUGUUAUUCAGAUUAACUGGGCGUAAAGGGCACGUAGGUGGUUUGUUUAUGUGUAUUAUUAAAUUAUAAAGCAUAACUUUAUAAUGUAGUAUAAACAGCAAAACUAGAGUUAGGUAGAGAGUAGUAGAAUUUCUAAUGUAAAGGUGAAAUUUGAUAAAUUAAGUAGAGAAUAACCAAUGGCGUAAGCAACUACUUG
Molecule: ribosomal RNA, 210 nt
Filed under: uncultured bacterium
Lineage: Bacteria
Description: partial 16S ribosomal RNA
Rfam family: Bacterial small subunit ribosomal RNA
Source: RNAcentral